CAAGGUUUCCGUAGGUGANCCUGCGGAAGGAUCAUUAAAGAAUNCAAUUACUACAAUUAUGAAUUACUGCUUNGGCGGCUUGCCGCCAGAGAACAACACCCAAAUAAUUUUAUCUACCAACCUAAUAAUCAAAACUUUCAACAACGGAUCUCUUGGUUCUCGCAUCGAUGAAGAACGCAGCGAAAUGCGAUAAGUAAUAUGAAUUGCAGCCUUUGUGAAUCAUCGAAUCUUUGAACGCACAUUGCGCCUUGGGGUAUUCCCCAAGGCAUGCCUGUUUGAGCGUCAUUCUCCCUCAAACCCCUGGGUUUGGCAGUGAGUGCACGCCCGUCCACUCGAAAGCAAUACGCAGCAUGUCUAGGACUACCCUCGUGCCCGCGUCUACACUUUCGACCUCAAAUCAGGAGGACUACCCGCUGAACUU
This 421-nucleotide ribosomal RNA is filed under the name Suhomyces canberraensis. RNAcentral's name for it is "eukaryotic LSU rRNA". The stretch from base 133 to 285 matches the Rfam family "5.8S ribosomal RNA". Lineage: Eukaryota; Fungi; Ascomycota; Pichiomycetes; Serinales; Debaryomycetaceae. The record is from RNAcentral.